CCCUUUUGGAAAUGAAAUGAAAUUUAAUUUGAAGAUUAUUAUUUAAUUAUUGCAUCAGUUAUUUUUCCGAUCUUUGAUGUGCAUGUCCGAUCUGAUCUCUAACUAAAUCGUCAUUGGCCGAUCUGUGGCUCUGAAAAUUUGCCCAAUCCGAUAACCCUAGAUAGCCGAUCUCAUUUUAUUCAAUUUUAUUAUUGUGUUUCUUGAACCUUCCCGCGACGUGUCAGAAAAGCGGGCCGAUUCCGCUAACUGAUGCGCCGCUUGGGACUUCGUGAGCAUUAAAUGCUCAGAUGGGUAUAAAUAGGGGGAGGGUCAAUCAGUUGCUCCCUUAUGUCACUUUCAGCACUUUGCUAGCAAUUUCAACAUUCUCUUCUUCAAGUAUUUUCAGCACCAAUCACAUUUCGGUAAGGAUUUUGAUUCUUUUCUUAGUUAAACUUCUUUUGUUUUCUUGAAAAUGAGCGGCGCCGAGGG
This 468-nucleotide unclassified non-coding RNA is filed under the name Hevea brasiliensis (rubber tree). The record is from RNAcentral. Lineage: Eukaryota; Viridiplantae; Streptophyta; Magnoliopsida; Malpighiales; Euphorbiaceae.